This is a non-coding RNA of Mobiluncus curtisii ATCC 43063, 378 nucleotides long. It matches the Rfam family "Bacterial RNase P class A". Rfam says of the family: Ribonuclease P (RNase P) is a ubiquitous endoribonuclease, found in archaea, bacteria and eukarya as well as chloroplasts and mitochondria. Its best characterised activity is the generation of mature 5'-ends of tRNAs by cleaving the 5'-leader elements of precursor-tRNAs. NCBI's taxonomy places the organism in Bacteria, Bacillati, Actinomycetota, Actinomycetes, Actinomycetales, Actinomycetaceae. The record is from Rfam.
AAAGCCGGGCAGGUAGUCGCGGGCGAGUCAUUCGAUAAGCUCGAGGAAAGUCCGGACUCCACAGGGCAGGGUGAUGGCUAACGGCCACCAGGGGCGACCCUCGGGACAGUGCCACAGAAAGCGAAACCGCCCCACCGGGCUUAUGCACGGUGAGGUAAGGGUGAAAAGGUGAGGUAAGAGCUCACCGCGCGGCUGGUGACAGUCGUGGCAGGGUAAACCCCACCCGGAGCAAGGCCAAGCAGCAGGCUGGGCGGCCCGUUCAAAGCCUGCGGGUAGGCUGCUAGAGAGGUCGGGUAACUGGCCUUCCAGAGAAAUGGCUACCGGCGCGCGGCGGCAACAAAGCGCGUUACAGAAUCCGGCUUACGCCCGGCUUUUCCG